GUAAGGAAUAUUGGUCAAUGGGGGCAACCCUGAACCAGCCAUGCCGCGUGAAGGAUGAAGGCGUUAUGCGUUGUAAACUUCUUUUGUAUGGGAAGAAUGACAGGGAUUCAUCCUUGGAGAGACGGUACCAUACGAAUAAGCACCGGCUAACUCCGUGCCAGCAGCCGCGGUAAUACGGAGGGUGCAAGCGUUAUCCGGAAUCACUGGGGUUAAAGGGUACGUAGGCGGUUAAUUAAGUCAGUAGUGAAAGACUGUCGCUCAACGACGGAUGUGCUAUUGAUACUGGUUAACUUGAAUCAGGUUAGAGUUGGCGGAAUGGGUCAUGUAGCGGUGAAAUGCUUAGAUAUGACUCAGAACCCCGAUUGCGAAGGCAGCUGUCUAAGUCAUGAUUGACGCUGAUGCACGAAAGCGUGGGGAUCAAACAGGAUUAGAUACCCGAGUAGUCC
RNAcentral lists this ribosomal RNA (446 nucleotides) under uncultured bacterium. RNAcentral's name for it is "partial 16S ribosomal RNA". It matches the Rfam family "Bacterial small subunit ribosomal RNA", at positions 354 to 796 of the family's 1533-position model. The record is from RNAcentral.